Molecule: ribosomal RNA, 1173 nt
Filed under: Campylobacter coli
Lineage: Bacteria; Pseudomonadati; Campylobacterota; Epsilonproteobacteria; Campylobacterales; Campylobacteraceae
Description: partial 23S ribosomal RNA
Rfam family: Bacterial large subunit ribosomal RNA
Source: RNAcentral
AAAAAAGGUAAGCUACUAAGAGCGAAUGGUGGAUGCCUUGACUGGUAAAGGCGAUGAAGGACGUACUAGACUGCGAUAAGCUACGGGGAGCUGUCAAGAAGCUUUGAUCCGUAGAUUUCCGAAUGGGGCAACCCAAUGUAUAGAGAUAUACAUUACCUAUAUAGGAGCGAACGAGGGGAAUUGAAACAUCUUAGUACCCUCAGGAAAAGAAAUCAAUAGAGAUUGCGUCAGUAGCGGCGAGCGAAAGCGCAAGAGGGCAAACCCAGUGCUUGCACUGGGGGUUGUAGGACUGCAAUGUGCAAGAGGUGAGUUUAGCAGAACAUUCUGGAAAGUAUAGCCAUAGAGGGUGAUAGUCCCGUAUGCGAAAAACAAACCUUAGCUAGCAGUAUCCUGAGUAGGGCGGGACACGAGAAAUCCUGUCUGAAGCUGGGUCGACCACGAUCCAACCCUAAAUACUAAUACCAGAUCGAUAGUGCACAAGUACCGUGAGGGAAAGGUGAAAAGAACUGAGGUGAUCAGAGUGAAAUAGAACCUGAAACCAUUUGCUUACAAUCAUUCAGAGCACUAUGUAGCAAUACAGUGUGAUGGACUGCCUUUUGCAUAAUGAGCCUGCGAGUUGUGGUGUCUGGCAAGGUUAAGCAAACGCGAAGCCGUAGCGAAAGCGAGUCUGAAUAGGGCGCUUAGUCAGAUGCUGCAGACCCGAAACGAAGUGAUCUAUCCAUGAGCAAGUUGAAGCUAGUGUAAGAACUAGUGGAGGACUGAACCCAUAGGCGUUGAAAAGCCCCGGGAUGACUUGUGGAUAGGGGUGAAAGGCCAAUCAAACUUCGUGAUAGCUGGUUCUCUCCGAAAUAUAUUUAGGUAUAGCGUUGUGUCGUAAUAUAAGGGGGUAGAGCACUGAAUGGGCUAGGGCAUACACCAAUGUACCAAACCCUAUCAAACUCCGAAUACCUUAUAUGUAAUCACAGCAGUCAGGCGGCGAGUGAUAAAAUCCGUCGUCAAGAGGGAAACAACCCAGACUACCAGCUAAGGUCCCUAAAUCUUACUUAAGUGGAAAACGAUGUGAAGUUACUUAAACAACCAGGAGGUUGGCUUAGAAGCAGCCAUCCUUUAAAGAAAGCGUAAUAGCUCACUGGUCUAGUGAUUUUGCGCGGAAAAUAUAACGGGGCUAAAGUA